UGAGGAAUAUUGGUCAAUGGGCGAGAGCCUGAACCAGCCAAGUAGCGUGCAGGAUGACGGCCCUAUGGGUUGUAAACUGCUUUUAUGCGGGGAUAAAGUGAGCCACGUGUGGCUUAUUGCAGGUACCGCAUGAAUAAGGACCGGCUAAUUCCGUGCCAGCAGCCGCGGUAAUACGGAAGGUCCGGGCGUUAUCCGGAUUUAUUGGGUUUAAAGGGAGCGUAGGCCGUCUGAUAAGCGUGUUGUGAAAUGUCGGGGCUCAACCUGGGCAUUGCAGCGCGAACUGUCAGACUUGAGUGCGCGGGAAGUAGGCGGAAUUCGUCGUGUAGCGGUGAAAUGCUUAGAUAUGACGAAGAACUCCGAUUGCGAAGGCAGCCUGCUGUAGCGCAACUGACGCUGAAGCUCGAAAGCGUGGGUAUCGAACA
RNAcentral lists this ribosomal RNA (422 nucleotides) under uncultured bacterium. RNAcentral's name for it is "bacterial SSU rRNA". It matches the Rfam family "Bacterial small subunit ribosomal RNA", at positions 355 to 774 of the family's 1533-position model. The record is from RNAcentral.